AGUAGACGCUGGCGGCAUGCCUAACACAUGCAAGUCGAACGGCAGCACAGCAGUAGCAAUACUGUGGGUGGCGAGUGGCGGACGGGUGAGGAACACAUCGGAAUUUGCCCAGUCGUGGGGGAUAACGUAGGGAAACUUACGCUAAUACCGCAUACGACCUAACGGUGAAAGCGGGGGAUCGCAAGACCUCGCGCGGAUGGAUAAGCCGAUGUCGGAUUAGCUAGUUGGCGGGGUAAAGGCCCACCAAGGCGACGAUCCGUAGCUGGUCUGAGAGGAUGAUCAGCCACACUGGGACUGAGACACGGCCCAGACUCCUACGGGAGGCAGCAGUGGGGAAUAUUGGACAAUGGGGGCAACCCUGAUCCAGCAAUGCCGCGUGUGUGAAGAAGGCCUUCGGGUUGUAAAGCACUUUUAUCGGGAACGAAACAUUGUCGGUGAAUAUCCGGCAAGACUGACGGUACCCGAGGAAUAAGCACCGGCUAACUUCGUG
Molecule: ribosomal RNA, 490 nt
Filed under: uncultured bacterium
Lineage: Bacteria
Description: bacterial SSU rRNA
Rfam family: Bacterial small subunit ribosomal RNA
Source: RNAcentral